Molecule: ribosomal RNA, 1886 nt
Filed under: Triticum aestivum (bread wheat)
Lineage: Eukaryota; Viridiplantae; Streptophyta; Magnoliopsida; Poales; Poaceae
Description: partial small subunit ribosomal RNA
Source: RNAcentral
UACUGUUCGCGAUCUCCUUGGCAACGACGAACCGAGGAGGCGACAGAGUCCCAGCAGCGCGGUGGUGGUACGACAGCGCGAGGAUAAGAGGCGCCGGGAGGUGCCGAGCCGCGACUGCUCCUGGCUUCCCUAGGGGCGGUGACGAAGGAGGUGGGUCGCCGUUCUCGACACGGGCGAGAAGUGAUACGGCCGUGUGGUGCGACGAGUCUAGGUAGUACCACCUUUGGGCUAUGUCCACCGGAAGGAAGUCUAGAAAAAACCAAAGACAGUUUAAACAGUCGACGAGUCUCCUCUCCUUCACUCAUCUUAUGCAUCCCUUUUUCUUCUUCCUUUGUUGUCAGAACGUUCGAUUAUUUCUUUGUCAUCGAACGAGUGUUUUAAAGGUACUCACCAUUGCGAAGAGAAGUGUGUAUAUUAGACUAAAAGUGGUGAUUAUUAAUCUUUGAUGUCCUAACAUCUGUGUCUCAGUAGUGUAAGCAAUUGUUCACUAAAUAAACUCUCCUUGUGUUCACUUAAAAUGGAAUCAAUACGGUCAAGAUAAAAGAAAGUCUUUUAGGAAAAAUACCUAACUACCACCCUGAACCCUAAUUUGUAUAUGUACACACCUUCGAAGAGAAACGUAUUAAAACAAUGACUACGUAGAUAUAAAAAGGAGAAUUGAACCCCGAGAAAAUUUUUCCUUCGUGGAGUACACACUCUUAACCAACAUAAAUGAUAAAAGAUAUGUUGGACUUACAUGAUCUUCCUAGUUGUAAGUACUUUGAUAUUGGUCGGUAUCAUUAGAACGAUAACUAUAUAUGUGUGACUUUCAGAUUUCUGUACGAUCAUUUUCGAUGAAAGAAACUUUCGUCGUUAUGGUAAAUAUAAGUUACCCUGACGGUAACGGCGUGGAAACUAACGAAAAAUUAGAACGAUAUGUAUAUAUGUGUGACCUUCAGACUUUUAUACGACCGUUUUCGAUGAACGAAACUUUCGUCGUUAUUCCAAAUAUAAGUCGCCCUGACGUUAACACUGUGGAAUAUCGAUGUUGAGGAGAACUUUAACUUAACACUUUCCUACACAGUAUAACCUUCACUUUGACACACGUACAUUCGAGAUUAGUUCGAGAAGGCCACUUUAAGUUGAAAAAAAAUGCUGUAUCAUUGUGUCAAUAUAAACUACCGGUACUUCCGUAGUUGUGUUUGUGCACAAAAAUUAAGUGAGUAAAUAACAUACCAAAACUUAGUACAAUCUGCGUAGGGUCAAAACCUUAACUUGACAGAUUUGUAUGUCUGUGGAUAAUAGUACGAUCGUGUGUCAAAACCGGCUUGCUGAGGUGGCCGCUGGUGGUAGGAGGCACCUUGCGGAAGGGAGUAGCGCUCGAUCGCAUGAGAGGCUCGUCCGGAGGAGGGCCGUUCGAAGUGGCUCGUGGUUGGACGCCCAGGUGUAGGAGGUGCAGGAGACGUUACUUCGUUGUCUCGUAGAUGGGAGGCCUUGCAAGAAGGGGACCUAGUUAUCGCGACGGAGGAAAAGGGGAAAUAAACAAUCCAAAGGGAUGUCUUCAACUACCCCCAAAGCUUCUAGAAGUUCGACGACUUCUAAACCCUCUAAGUCUUCUAGAAAUUCGACGACUUCUAUACCUUCUCACUAAUACGAAACAAACACCUUGGAUAUGUGAACGAGACGAGUAAAACGGCCAACAAUCCGGUGUUAUACGAGUAAAACCAACACACCGUGGGGUCUUUGUAUACAAGAAAACACCGUGUGUACAUCUUUGUAUAUACACAACAUGGAAAACACCGUGUUGGACGAAUAUAUAUAUACCAACAAUACAAUUAAAUAGCUUAACUGAAAUUCCAAAUCCUCACUUCACAUACUUACUCUGUACAAUGAAACUAACUUCACAU